This is a long non-coding RNA of Manis pentadactyla (Chinese pangolin), 1420 nucleotides long. RefSeq lists it as uncharacterized. The transcript has 3 exons. NCBI's taxonomy places the organism in Eukaryota, Metazoa, Chordata, Mammalia, Pholidota, Manidae. The record is from RefSeq and is a predicted model, not a curated record.
GAGGGGGAGGAAUCUCCUCCGGAAGUUCAGUGUAUUGCAGGCAGAGAGAAGAAAAUGAAACCGCGUGGUCAGGCUCCACUUCCCUACAGAGAGGUCCUGAAACUGACCCAGGCAAAAAGAUGGUACAAUCUGGGCUCACUGCAUGCCUCCCUUCUCUUGGCCAUCACACUCUAACCAGUGGAACACAGGACACCAGGUAGCCUUGAUGGGCUUGGAUGAAGCAACCAACCAGCUGAGAGCUGCCUCUUGGAAGGAAAGGCACAUAUGGCAGGGACUGAGGGCAUCUCUGCCAUAUGGCCAGCAAGGCAGUGAGGCCUUCAGUUCAACAAGCUGCAAAGAACUGAGUCCUGCCAAAACCAUGGGAGCUUAGAGCAGACCCUUCCCCAGUUCCACCUGCAAAUGUGUCCUCAAUCCCACCCAACACUUUCUCUGCUUGCACCCUUGUGAGAGCCACUGGAAGAGAGGACCCAGCUAACCCAGUCUGGAUUCCUGACCCACAAAAACUGGGAGAUGUGUUGUUUUUAGCUACUGUGGUAAUUUGUUACACAGAAAGAGAUAACAAUCACAUUUUCCCUACUUGGAUCCUAGAACAGAAAAAGACAUGCAUAGAAAAACCAGUGAAAUCCAAAAAGCCUUAAGUUGAGUUCCUGGUACUGAGCCAAUGUUAUUUUCUUAGCAUUGAUAAAUGUGCAUGGUUACGUAAGAUGUUUACAUUAGCAGGAGCUGGGCAAUGGGUAUGGGAUCACUUGCUGUCUUUGAAACUCUUCUGUAAAUUUUUAAAACUAUUUCAGAAUACAAACUUUAAAAAAACACAUCUGGGUAUGUAUUACAUGUUACGUUUAUAAAAUAAGAGAAUAUAGCAAAUUUGAGGAGAAAAGGUAAAGGUAUCAGGGAGCCACCAGUCUAGUGGAAGGGACUCCACAAAUAGACCUUAGGGGUCACAUAGGUUAGAAAGGAGUAGCAAGUGCGGAGCUGAGCCUGCUGGGGGAGAUAUAGACUGGAAGUCAGAGUGUGGUUAAGGAAUUUCAGGAAUAUUUCCCCCUCACCUCCAUUUAAGUUACCACUAAGUGUCAACAUCUGUUCGAAAAUUGAGUUUUUUACUUAUUCCUUUAAAUGUUUUGUUCUUGCAUUUUCCAUCAUCUGAAACUCCACUGUCUGCCAGGACAUAGCCUCAUAUACUGAUCAGCUUCAGAAGUGAAUUUACAAGAUCUUUGCCACCUCUGCCCUCAGUGACAUUUUUCAAACACCUAACUUUACCAUUUAGCUUUUCAUCCACUUAUCAGCUGUAUUAUCUUCAGAAGUUACCUAAACUCUAUUCCUGGUUUCUUUAAACACGAAAUGAGAGUAAGAACCAGCACUUUCUUGAUGAAUAUUCCUUAAAAUUAUGUGAAACACUUGUUAAGGGUGUCUGUCAGGUAGU